RNAcentral lists this ribosomal RNA (1436 nucleotides) under metagenome. RNAcentral describes it as "bacterial SSU rRNA". It matches the Rfam family "Bacterial small subunit ribosomal RNA". The record is from RNAcentral.
AGAGUUUGAUCCUGGCUCAGGAUUAACGCUGGCGGCGUGCCUAAUGCAUGUAAGCCGUACGGUCCACCGCAAGGCGGACAGUGGCAGACGGGUGAGUAACACGUAAGAACCUACCCUCUAGUGGGGGAUAAUCCGCCGAAAGGCAGACUAAUACCGCAUACGUUCCGCAAGGAAGAAAGCUCCGGCGCUAGAGGAUGGGCUUGCGCCCGAUUAGCUAGUUGGUGAGGUAAUGGCCCACCAAGGCUGAGAUCGGUAGCUGGUCUGAGAGGACGACCAGCCACACUGGGACUGAGAUACGGCCCAGACUCCUACGGGAGGCAGCAGCAGGGGAUAUUGCGCAAUGGGUGAAAGCCUGACGCAGCAACGCCGCGUGGGGGAUGAAGGCCUUCGGGUCGUAAACCCUUUUUCUUAGGGAAGAUUAUGACGGUACCUGAGGAAUAAGUCUCGGCUAACUACGUGCCAGCAGCCGCGGUAAGACGUAGGAGGCAAGCGUUAUCCGGAAUUACUGGGCGUAAAGGGCGUGUAGGCGGCUCGUUAAGUCUUUGGUGAAAUCUCUCGGCUUAACUGAGAGGGUAUCAGAGAAACUGGCGGGCUUGAGGGCAGCAGAGGAGAGUGGAAUUCCCGGUGUAGUGGUGAUAUGCGUAGAUAUCGGGAGGAACACCUGUGGCGAAAGCGGCUCUCUGGGCUGUUCCUGACGCUGAGGCGCGAAAGCGUGGGGAGCAAACAGGAUUAGAUACCCUGGUAGUCCACGCCACAAACGAUGGACACUAGGUAUGGGGGGUAUCGACCCCCUCCGUGCCGAAGCUAACGCUUUAAGUGUCCCGCCUGGGGAUUACGGCCGCAAGGCUAAAACUCAAAGGAAUUGACGGGGGCCCGCACAAGCAGCGGAGCGUGUGGUUUAAUUCGAUUCAAAGCGAAGAACCUUACCAAGACUUGACAUGUACAGGAAAGGCAAGGAAACUUGUCCCCUCUUCGGAGUCUGUACACAGAUGCUGCAUGGCUGUCGUCAGCUCGUGCCGUGAGGUGUUGGGUUAAGUCCCGCAACGAGCGCAACCCUCGUCGUCAGUUGUAUUUUCUGGCGAGACUGCUCCGCAAAACGGGGAGGAAGGUGGGGAUGACGUCAAGUCAGCACGGCUCUUACGUCUUGGGCUACACACACGCUACAAUGGGUGGUACAGAGGGAUGCCAAGGGGCGACCCGGAGCUAAUCCCAAAAAGCCAUCCUCAAUUCGGAUUGCAGGCUGAAACCCGCCUGCAUGAAGCCGGAGUUGCUAGUAAACGCAGAUCAGCAGGCUGCGUUGAAUACGUUCUCGGGCCUUGUACACACCGCCCGUCACGUCAUGGAAGUUGGAAACACCUGAAGUCGAUGGGCCAACCCGCAAGGGAAGCAGUCGCCUAGGGUGGGGCUAGUAACUGGGACGAAGUCGUAACAAGGUA